Molecule: ribosomal RNA, 253 nt
Filed under: uncultured bacterium
Lineage: Bacteria
Description: partial 16S ribosomal RNA
Rfam family: Bacterial small subunit ribosomal RNA
Source: RNAcentral
UACGUAGGGGGCUAGCGUUGUCCGGAAUCAUUGGGCGUAAAGAGCGUGUAGGCGGCCCGGUAAGUCCGCUGUAAAAGUCAAAGGCUCAACCUUUGAAUGUCAGUGGAUACUGCCGGGCUAGAGUCCGGAAGAGGCGAGUGGAACUCCUGGUGUAGCGGUGGAAUGCGCAGAUAUCAGGAAGAACACCAACGGCGAAGGCAGCUCGCUAGGACGGUACUGACGCUGAGAUGCGAAAGCGUGGGGAGCAAACAGG